UCUGCAGACCGGAUGUUGGUGGGCCCAGCAGUCUCUGCGGGACAGGAUGUUAGUUGACCCAGUAGUGCUCAGGUGCACCGCAGGCAUUUGCAGCACAGCGGCUGUGAGUUCAGAAAGCAGAGCUUGCCACGGUAACCCAUUCUUCCCUCUCCCCAUUGUUAUUCUUUCAGUCCCCACCCUUUUUCACCCCCACUCCCAGCGACCUCUGACCUCUGCCUCAUCUGAAAACUUUUUCUCUCUUCUUGUUCUCUCCUGGUGUGCACAUGUGUCUUUGUCUCUCUGUCUCUUUUUUUCUUCUCCUCUCUUUCUCUCUCUCCCUCCCUCCCUCCCUCUCUCCCUCUCUCUCUCUCCUUUAAUAAACGUUUACGCCUAUUUUUUGUGUCUAUGUGCCUUUUACCCUCUGUUUACCUGCCACUCGGCUCUCCGGCCGCAUGGGCGCACACCUGCUGCUGGGAAUCUGCAGUCCCCGGCGUCUCUGCGCGGCAGGUGCUCCGCGGCCAUUUUAAGAAUAAAACCCAUAGUCAAAUGAGAUUUUCCAACUUAUCCACUAUGCGAAUACACGGCUCCUGUCACUUGUUACUGCUCUUUUGUCCCUGCCUACUUCAUGCACACCGUCCGCCAGUAAUGAACUCACAGACGCCCCCUCUGCAGCUUUUGAGAGGCCAGACACAGCAAAGAAGAUGAAUUAAGAGGCAGUUUUCCUGGCAUCUUUUUCCCUCCUUCAUGUGCUUGUGUGAAAUCUAAGGGGAAACUUGUGACCUCACUCAGCCCACGAUCUAAUCCUCCUGGCAAGUGGCACCGUGAGCCAACACCGUGAAAUCCGGCAACCAGUGACUUAGCUCCGCCCACACCGAGCCAGAGUUCCCUGGCACCUGGGGUCUUCUCGGGGCAGCACGGGACAGAGGGAAGUAAGGGCUCCCCGCGCGAGCUGCAGGUCACCGGGCUGUGGCGCCCUGGGUCUCGCGGCCAACUCCGUUGACGUCCCAGGUCGCGUGCCCAGGUCGCGUGCCCAGGCGGGUAGGGACCCUUAAGCCCUGCUCAGAGCCACAGCCCUAGAGGCACUCUUCCUGUCCGCCAAGGGGACUGACUGGACCGGACCGCUAAAGGGAAGCUGUCGGCGGGGCUGUCUCCGAAGACCCACAAACGGACCCUAGAUUUAUCUACAGCAGGCACAGACGCUCGCAGCAGACUGUAGCUUCAAUUCCAGGAGAUCUGACCUCCACAGGAACGGUGCCAAGAACUGGUGUGAGGCAUCCAGAUGCUCACAGGGACACAGACGGAGCACAAGGAAGAAAACCAUUUCUGCAGUGUGCUGGAGUAGCCCAAACCGCUUAGCCAGGGGGCCAGCUGCUUCCAGGCCUGGAUAUUGUCCUUCCGUAGCCACUGUCCAAUGAUCAUCUCCAUGUACAACAGGAGAAUCCCCACCAGAAGCAGCAGGAUGAGGUACAUCAGCAGAAAGCUGCCUUUGGAGGGGUGGGAUCUUGCUCAGGCAGCUGGGAGCCCCGCAGCCCUCACACUCCUGCCUGGGGGGUCUGGACACCCCUUCCUUAACCUCACAGCAUAGGCUCUGGCUUCACCUCCUCCAUUCUGGUGGCACAGGUAUGGGAAAUGCCAAAUGCUGCCAAGUCCAAUGGAGAAGGCCACCGAGAUCAGGGCUAUUCUCUAUAUUCUUCUCCUGGAAGUGGUUUGGGAUCUUGGUAAUUCGGACCUCUCUGGUCCUGAAGCCCCAGGACAUGGAUGUCCAUGCACACCAGAAAGCCCAGGGAGAUAGAGGUGAUAGCAGAGCGAGGACAAGUCUCUGCGCGGUGAGGUGGGUGUCAGGGAUGGUGACCAGAGAGUCCCGUCAAGAGCUUGCUUGAGGUAGCUAUUGUCUUUUCCGUAGGACACUUACUGGGGACACUGGUGGUGUACAUGAACCUGUCCUCUGGACAGUGGGAGGUCCUGAGGCUCAGCAGGAAGGAGGCCACUGGGACACUUACAAGCACUGAGAUCCUCAUCCUAGUAAUCUGAUUGAUAUAGAGGAUGACCCAGGUGGCAAAGAGGCACAGGGUGAUGUUCAAGACCAGCAUCUCAAUCCCUUCUUCUACCUGGCUGGAGGCAUCAAGGGUUGUGUGAUACCAGAAAUACUGGUAGGGCACUGUCCGAAGGCACUGGAUCUCUGGGGGGAGAAGGAGGCAGAGAUUCAGAUACUUAAAGGUCACCUCAGAUGGUGCCUCCAAGAGCUCUUGCAACUAACCCAUCUCCCUGUCCUUCUCCUUACUAGUCAUACUGAUGGCAAGCAAGUGCUCUCAUCAGAGAGGCUUCCUGACUCAGCUUUAGCUGCAAAACCCUGCAGCUCUUUUAAGAGAUCCUGCCAGGAAACACUUAAAUGGUGUUGAUGAAAAGCUGAAGGCAUGCUUUUCGGUUUUCAGCCGUAGGAGGAAAAAGCUGUGUCGUUUAAAAAUGCUGGCUUUCUGGGCUGUCCUGCCAGGGCAAAGUCUGACUCCUUUAGGCAGGCAGUCCAACUGAAUGUGGUCUGUGAGCAGAAUGCUGCCGCUUGCUCGCUGUCAUGGACCUUAAAACCUCACAGAGUUGUGGCAAUAAAAAUGUCUACUGCCAGUACCUCUGCCAUGAGGCUGGAAAGCUAAGGAAUGGGCUGGAUCCAGCCACCAAAGCCACGGCUUUAGUCCUACUGAUAUUGCUUGGUAAAUUAAAGACUCAUGUGGCCACAAGUAAAAGAAAGAGUCAAAGUCGAAGAAAACGUCUAAAUGGUUUACAGUGUGUUAAGAAUAUAUGUAAGCUAAAGGUUAAAGUUCUUAAAAAAAGAGAGUAGUUAAUCCCAACACUUGGCAGGCAGAAGUAAAUUGACCUCUGUGACUUCAAGGGGUAGAAGUAGAUUGACCUCUGUGACUUCAAGUUGUGGUAGCACACACCUUUAAACCCAAUGCCUGUGAGGCAGAGACUGAGGGAUCUCUGUGAGUUCAAGGACAGCAUGGUCUACAGAGUUAUUACAGGACAAAGAUAUACAGAGAACUUGUCUCAAAAAGUAAAAGUAAAAAUAAAAGUAAUAGAGGUUAAAGUAAAGCCACAUAAAGAUGGAAAAUACACAGAGAAUCUUGAUACUGUAUGCUAUUAUGCUCUCUUUGAAUUGUUUGAAUGCUGAGGUAGGAGCAACAGCUGCUAAAAGAUAUUUGUUUAUAAAUGCUAUUGAACUAACCCAAGAUAGAUAUUUUGAAAAUUCCUUGACUUCAAAAUUUGGAUCUAAGGAUAUGAUACUUUGGAAAAAGAGAUUCUUUUUUUGUUUUCACAGAGGAUGAGACCCUGUGGAUUGCUUCUAUCCCAAUAUGGUAUGAUGGACCACGUCUUCCUGAAAGGUUGCUGUGAACACCCUCAGGAAAUUACUUUGCUCAGCUGCCGACUGAGAUGAAUCUAGCGCACAGGUUAUAUCAUGAAAGACCUGAAUAACAGUGCCCCCAUUCAGCAUGAAGCAGUUUGGAGAGAAAUAACUACAUCCAUAUUCUCAAAUAUUGUUUAUAAAUGUUCUUUUACAUUUAAAGGGGGAUAUGAUAUAGAUAUGAAUAAUUUGCCUUGGUAUGGAUUUUAAGGUCAAUUUGUUAUAUGUAUAUGCAUUUCUGAUCUUGAUUAAGGUAUUGUGAUUGUGUAGUUCACUUAAAAAUGUAAUAUAUAUAGGUUGUUAAUGGAUAAUCAUCAAUAAUCAAGCUUGUAGUCAUGUUAGAUUUUCUAGAUAUAUAGAGAUAUAUUUCAGUUAAAUAGGCAUUCUUCAUAUCUUUCAAAGACUACAGAAUAUGGCAUUUUAAAUGUCUUAAUAACUUAGGAUUGUUCAUGACAGUGAGACACAUCUGCUCCUGAUAGCACCAAUCUACUUCAAGAGGAAGAUGGGCAUUGAAGAGGCUCCUUAUGGAGUUUGAUAGCCAUUUGGGCAAGAAACUGCUCUUGCCUGGACUGUUGCAUAAACUGGACACAGAGAACCUGCAGAGAGAGGACUGCUGAACUUGCCUAAAGGUGAGAUGGUCUUUUAGGGUUCCUGCUUCAUUAAAGAGUCUACAAGACAUUCUGCAGGACACAGCAGAUAGUGACUGAACUGUCUUUGAAAUUUCCUGCUUCAUGGAAAUGUCUGCUGGAUACUGUGAGCCUGAAGGUUGAAGAUUGAUGCCCCAACGGUACAAAAGAACUUUGGGUGACUGCACAGGCAGCGAGAUGUCUCUGUCAUUUCUAGAGUUUUGAAAGUUUCUUACUUCUUGUUUGCUUAGGUAAUAUUAUAUCAUUCUGGAGUUUUUGAUGGAGUUGAAGAAUGGAUAGUUAUAGUUUUACUUAGUUAUGAUAAAAGAUAAAAUAUAAAUAUUGUAACUGCAAUUCUUGCUUGAUAACUGUUUUGUUAAAUGUAAUUUUACUAUGUUAAAGUGAAAGCCUUUCCUUUUUGUUUAAACAGAAAAAGGGAAAAUGAUGGAGGAUAGUCAUAUAUCUAUCUGUUGUUUUCAUUGGUUAAUUAAUAAAGAAACUGCUUGGCCUGAUAGAUCAGAACAUAGGUGGGUGGAGUAGACAGAAUAGAAUGCUGGGAAGAAGGGAAGUGAGGUCAGAUGCUAAGGAGCCAGCCGGCAGGUCAGACAUGCUGAAUCUUCCCCGGUAAGCUACCACCUCGUGGUGCUACACAGAUUAUUAGAAAUGGGUUAAUCAAGAUGUGAGAAUUAGCCAAUAAGAGGCUGAAAUUAAUGGGCCAGGCAGUGUUUAAAAGAAUACAAUUUGUGUGUUGUUAUUUUGGGGCAUAAGCUAGCCAGACGGCCGGGAGCUGGCCUGCAGCUCCUUCUACAAC
Chionomys nivalis (European snow vole) is the source of this 4810-nucleotide long non-coding RNA. RefSeq lists it as uncharacterized. The record is from RefSeq and is a predicted model, not a curated record. The transcript is spliced from 4 exons. Lineage: Eukaryota; Metazoa; Chordata; Mammalia; Rodentia; Cricetidae.